This 680-nucleotide ribosomal RNA is filed under the name uncultured bacterium. RNAcentral's name for it is "bacterial SSU rRNA". It matches the Rfam family "Bacterial small subunit ribosomal RNA", at positions 140 to 807 of the family's 1533-position model. The record is from RNAcentral.
GGGAUAACACUUGGAAACAGGUGCUAAUACCGCAUAACCACAGUUACCGCAUGGUAACUAUGUAAAAGGUGGCUAUGCUACCGCUUUUGGAUGGGCCCGCGGCGCAUUAGCUAGUUGGUGGGGUAAAGGCUUACCAAGGCAAUGAUGCGUAGCCGAACUGAGAGGUUGAUCGGCCACAUUGGGACUGAGACACGGCCCAAACUCCUACGGGAGGCAGCAGUAGGGAAUCUUCCACAAUGGGCGAAAGCCUGAUGGAGCAACGCCGCGUGGGUGAAGAAGGUCUUCGGAUCGUAAAACCCUGUUGUUAGAGAAGAAAGUGCGUGAGAGUAACUGUUCACGUUUCGACGGUAUCUAACCAGAAAGCCACGGCUAACUACGUGCCAGCAGCCGCGGUAAUACGUAGGUGGCAAGCGUUAUCCGGAUUUAUUGGGCGUAAAGGGAACGCAGGCGGUCUUUUAAGUCUGAUGUGAAAGCCUUCGGCUUAACCGGAGUAGUGCAUUGGAAACUGGGAGACUUGAGUGCAGAAGAGGAGAGUGGAACUCCAUGUGUAGCGGUGAAAUGCGUAGAUAUAUGGAAGAACACCAGUGGCGAAAGCGGCUCUCUGGUCUGUAACUGACGCUGAGGUUCGAAAGCGUGGGUAGCAAACAGGAUUAGAUACCCUGGUAGUCCACGCCGUAAAC